UAGGGAAUCUUCGGCAAUGGACGAAAGUCUGACCGAGCAACGCCGCGUGAGUGAAGAAGGUUUUCGGAUCGUAAAACUCUGUUGUUAGAGAAGAACAAGGACGUUAGUAACUGAACGUCCCCUGACGGUAUCUAACCAGAAAGCCACGGCUAACUACGUGCCAGCAGCCGCGGUAAUACGUAGGUGGCAAGCGUUGUCCGGAUUUAUUGGGCGUAAAGCGAGCGCAGGCGGUUUCUUAAGUCUGAUGUGAAAGCCCCCGGCUCAACCGGGGAGGGUCAUUAGAAACUGGGAGACGUGAGUGCAGAAGAGGAGAGUGGAAUUCCAUGUGUAGCGGUGAAAUGCGUAGAUAUAUGGAAGAACACCAGUGGCGAAGGCGGCUCUCUGGUCUGUAACUGGCGCUGAGGCUCGAAAGCGUGGGGAGCAAACAGG
RNAcentral lists this ribosomal RNA (429 nucleotides) under Gemmatimonadota bacterium. RNAcentral describes it as "Gemmatimonadetes bacterium partial 16S ribosomal RNA". It matches the Rfam family "Bacterial small subunit ribosomal RNA", at positions 355 to 776 of the family's 1533-position model. The record is from RNAcentral. Lineage: Bacteria; Pseudomonadati; Gemmatimonadota.